RNAcentral lists this ribosomal RNA (254 nucleotides) under uncultured bacterium. RNAcentral describes it as "partial 16S ribosomal RNA". It matches the Rfam family "Bacterial small subunit ribosomal RNA", at positions 524 to 776 of the family's 1533-position model. The record is from RNAcentral.
CACGUAGGGCGCAAGCGUUGUCCGGAAUUAUUGGGCGUAAAGAGCUCGUAGGCGGUGUGUCGCGUCGGUCGUGAAAACUUGGGGCUUAACUCUGAGCUUGCGGUCGAUACGGGCAUCACUGGAGUUCGGCAGGGGAGACUGGAAUUCCUGGUGUAGCGGUGAAAUGCGCAGAUAUCAGGAGGAACACCGGUGGCGAAGGCGGGUCUCUGGGCCGAAACUGACGCUGAGGAGCGAAAGCGUGGGGAGCAAACAGG